AAGGAUCAUUAGAAAUGCGGGCUCUCUUGAAUUUAUUUUCUUGGGGGUUCAAAAUUUUAUCUUGUGCACUGUUGAUGUUGGUGGGGUUGUCGGUUCCUCUUUUAUUAGGGGAGCUGUCAGCUCUACCUGUCCCUGGGCUUUGGUCCUUUUCCUUUGGGAAGAGAUAACCGGCUCAGUGGAAACCAUAUAACUAUUCUGACUGAACCAAAAGAAAUUUUGUUUAACAUAAACAACUUUCAGCAAUGGAUCUCUCGGCUUUC
This 260-nucleotide unclassified non-coding RNA is filed under the name uncultured fungus. Its description in RNAcentral is "partial contains 18S rRNA, ITS1, 5.8S rRNA, ITS2 and 28S rRNA". The record is from RNAcentral. Lineage: Eukaryota; Fungi.